UACAGAGGUCUCAACCGUUGUUCGGAUUUAUUGGGCGUAAAGGGUGCGUAGGUGGUCGUGUAAGUCGGGUGUGAAAUCCUAGGGCUCAACCCUGGAACUGCACUCGAUACUGCAUGGCUUGAGCGCUGGAAAGGAGACUGGAAUUUACGGUGUAGCAGUGAAAUGCGUAGAUAUCGUAAGGAAGACCAGUGGCGAAAGCGAGUCUCUGGACAGAUGCUGACACUGAGGCACGAAGGCCAGGGGAGCAAACGGGAUUAGAUACCCCGGUAGUCCUGGCAGUAAACGGUGCACGUUUGGUGUAGGCGGAUUCGACCCCGUCUGCGCCGUAGCUAACGCGUUAAACGUGCCGCCUGGGAAGUACGGUCGCAAGAUUA
Molecule: ribosomal RNA, 374 nt
Filed under: uncultured prokaryote
Description: bacterial SSU rRNA
Rfam family: Bacterial small subunit ribosomal RNA
Source: RNAcentral